UGACACUGCUAUUCCUAAAAUUUGGAAUAAGAUAACCUAAUUAAUUUGUUUACUAGAAACAUUGAAAAUCUACAAAACUGCUGACACAUAUAAUGCACUAAGUGUGUGAACAGUGGCGGGGGUUUUAAUUCAUCCCGGUGGUUUGAAUCUUUUCUGCAGAGUCGGCUGCAUCGAGUCUUUAAAGCAUCGAUUCAUUCACUCAGAACAGAUUCGUUCAAAGAGUCUCGUUCAUUGAUCUAACCAUGGUUCAGACUCAUAACAGCGACUCGUUUCGUGAAUUAGGAUUGGUGAAUGGUAUUCGUUAAGUGGAUCCUAGACAGCCCGCGGUCAAAUGUUAUUUGCUCGUGCUAUGGUUACUUUGAAUUCGGAAUGAAUCGGUGUUUUUGAACGAAUCAUUUGAGUGAAAGAAUCGUACUUGGCAUAACUAGCAUAGUAACUACUCUUACUAAUUCUGGCAUGUCAUAAUAUGCCAGAAAUAUUAGCAUGCAAUAUACGGUAUUCCAAAUUUAAGCGUAUUGAAGUGAAGGAACGAUUCUUCCGCUUAAAAGAUUUGUUUAAAAACACCCGGUCGUUCGUUCACCAUCAAUGCCACAAAUAUGAGCUGUUCAGACACGUGCAGUUUUGCAUCCGGGACUUUUCGAGGAUUACACCUGCCGCUAAGCUACAGGGAAAGUAUUGACGGGUGCAAAGAGCCAAGACAGCACAUGCCUGAAACAUCACACCAAAUUGUUCUGCAUGGAUCAGUCCGAGAAACUUAAAAGUAAGUGAGCUUCAANAUCAAAAUAAUAUUAGCUGUGUGCAUACCACUGUUCUACUAACAUGUUUCACAAAAUAUCUAAGGUAUUUAAAAAAAACUUUAAUUUUGUGGAAAACACCGUGAUCAGAAUUAGAGAACAUUAACAACUGUAGCACAAAAGAAGAUUACAAGUAAAAUUUUGGAGGGUUACAGCUGUCAGAAAUCAGUAGGAAUUGUAGAGGCCCCUGCUUUGAAUGACUUAAGCACAUCUGCGGCCGCAGGACAUCUCUAGUUUCACACUGCGCUGGUGUGCACUCUCUUCCAUAGUUCUGUAACUGUAAUGGGUUUCUCAGCCCUAACUUUCCAGAGAUUUUCAGUUGGGUUUAGAUCUCUGGGCCGGCAAGUGCAUUAUUUCAAUGUUAUUGUCUUUAAGGGACUGCAUUACCCGUUUUGCAGUGUGACGGCUGCAUUGUCUUGCAUGAAACUUGCAGGCUGAUAGGGAGAUGCUUACAGGGAAGCAUGUUGCUGAAUGAGGUUCUGAUAAACAUUUGCAUUCACCAUGUAUCUGUAUAAGAGGCCCAACUCCUGCUGCAGAAGACAUCGCCCAAACUAUGACACUUCCUCCUCCACCUCUCACUGACUUCUUUACAUAGUUUGGCUUCAGUCUUUCCCCAGUUUGAUGCAGAACAUAAUCUUUCCCAUCAGACCCAAAUACAUUACACUUGCUCUCAUCACUGAAGUGAACUUUGGACCAGUUAUCC
Molecule: long non-coding RNA, 1497 nt
Organism: Cyprinus carpio (common carp)
Lineage: Eukaryota; Metazoa; Chordata; Actinopteri; Cypriniformes; Cyprinidae
Source: Ensembl